RNAcentral lists this long non-coding RNA (545 nucleotides) under Solanum lycopersicum (tomato). Its description in RNAcentral is "long non-coding RNA (SLYC_LNC000625)". Lineage: Eukaryota; Viridiplantae; Streptophyta; Magnoliopsida; Solanales; Solanaceae. The record is from RNAcentral.
AUCCUUGAUCCCAAUUUGAAUUUAAAAGGUUUCUCUCUCUAGUUGCAAUUGAUUUCAAAUCAACUUUUCAUCUUUUCCAUUCUACUGUUCUUCAUUUUUGUAAGCUUCAUCUUCUUCAUCUUACAUUGGUCGAAUUAAAUUCAUAUGAUGUCAAGAAUUCUAGUACUUAUGAGAACGGCGUCGUUUCUAAUUAAUUUCUCUGCCACUUAUAACUACAAUUUCUAUGUUACAGGAGUGACAGGAAAGACUGAUGGUCAACCCCAAAUCGACAAUAUAAGUUCAUCAAGUUGUAAUGAUUAUUAGAUAUAAAUUUUUGAUAUAUGUUUGAUAUUUUCUUUGUUAGUUAUUUCAAAAAUCUGAUAUAAUAAUGACAAGGUAUUGUUCUCAUAAGGUCAUGUAUCAUAUGUUUAAGUAUUAUCUAGAUACAUUAAAUUCUAAUUUUAUUCUCGUUUCGAACAGUUGUUAUGAAUUUAUGAAGUUAUAAAGUUUUAAUUGUAGAAUAGGUUAUAAUUUGUAGAAUCUUAUAUUAUAUAUUAUAAUUAAAC